RNAcentral lists this ribosomal RNA (492 nucleotides) under uncultured bacterium. Its description in RNAcentral is "partial 16S ribosomal RNA". It matches the Rfam family "Bacterial small subunit ribosomal RNA", at positions 29 to 507 of the family's 1533-position model. The record is from RNAcentral.
AGUGAACGCUGGCGGUAGGCCUAACACAUGCAAGUCGAACGGCAGCACAGUAAGAGCUUGCUCUUACGGGUGGCGAGUGGCGGACGGGUGAGGAAUACAUCGGAAUUUACUUUUUCGUGGGGGAUAACGUAGGGAAACUUACGCUAAUACCGCAUACGACCUACGGGUGAAAGCAGGGGAUCUUCGGACCUUGCGCGAUUGAAUGAGCCGAUGUCGGAUUAGCUAGUUGGCGGGGUAAAGGCCCACCAAGGCGACGAUCCGUAGCUGGUCUGAGAGGAUGAUCAGCCACACUGGAACUGAGACACGGUCCAGACUCCUACGGGAGGCAGCAGUGGGGAAUAUUGGACAAUGGGCGCAGGCCUGAUCCAGCCAUACCGCGUGGGUGAAGAAGGCCUUCGGGUUGUAAAGCCCUUUUGUUGGGAAAGAAAAGCAGCAGGUUAAUACCCCGCUGUUCUGACGGUACCCAAAGAAUAAGCACCGGCUAACUUCGUG